Molecule: long non-coding RNA, 364 nt
Organism: Pezoporus flaviventris
Lineage: Eukaryota; Metazoa; Chordata; Aves; Psittaciformes; Psittacidae
Exons: 3
Source: RefSeq, a predicted model, not a curated record
GAGGGAUAUUCCCAUCUCCUGACAUAGUCCAGGUUUUCAUGGGUUGCUGGUUUAAUGUUGGAUUUGCACUGCUGACAGGAGCCACAGGCCUGCACAGCUGCCCAGCACCGACCGAUGUGCUGCCACACAGCCCUGUCCUUUCAUUGUUCUGGGUGUAAUGCUGCCAGGGCUGCAGCCAGCUCUAAAUGCCACAUAAUAGGUAGAUCCAUCCAUCCAUCUGCUUUGUUACACGUCGCCCAGCUUGGCAGUGUUUCUGUUGCUAUUAAACCGUGCUCAUCCCCCUUGACAUUUAAAAGGCCGUUAGAUGAUUACUGUCACAGUCUUGUAUGUGGUGCCUUAAACCAAUUCUCUCCUCCUCUGCUCA